GAUGAACGCUAGCUACAGGCUUAACACAUGCAAGUCGAGGGGUAACGAGAGGAAAGCUUGCUUUCCUUGUCGACGACCGGCGCACGGGUGAGUAACGCGUAUCCAACCUGCCCCCAACUAGGGAAUAACCUUGCGAAAGUAAGACUAAUACCCUAUAAUUUCCUCAGAUGUCAUCUGACGAGGAAUAAAGAUUUAUCGGUUGUGGAUGGGGAUGCGUCUGAUUAGCUUGUUGGCGGGGUAACGGCCCACCAAGGCAACGAUCAGUAGGGGUUCUGAGAGGAAGGUCCCCCCAAUUGGAAUUGAGACACGGGCCAAACGCCCACGGGAGGCAGCAGUGAGGAAUAUUGGUCAAUGGGCGGAAGCCUGAACCAGCCAAGUAGCGUGCAGGAUGACGGCCCUAUGGGUUGUAAACUGCUUUUAUACAGGAAUAAAGUUAGCCACGUGUGGUUAUUUGUAGGUACUGUAUGAAUAAGGACCGGCUAAUUCCGUGCCAGCAGCCGCCGUAA
Molecule: ribosomal RNA, 506 nt
Filed under: uncultured bacterium
Lineage: Bacteria
Description: partial 16S ribosomal RNA
Rfam family: Bacterial small subunit ribosomal RNA
Source: RNAcentral